GAAGCAAGCCAGGCCGCCGCUGGUGCAAGCGCCGAAAGGCGGCACUGGAGGAAGGUCCGGACUGCACAGGACAGCGUAGCAGCUAACGGCUGCCCACCGCGAGGUGAGGAUCAGAGCAACAGAGACGAGCCGAUUCAGUUCGGGUGAAACGGGCAAUCUCUACGCGCAGCAACACCAAAUAGGCCGGCGAUGAUGUGGUCCGCGGAGCCGGCGGGUAGGUGGCACCGAGCUGCCGCAGCGAUGCGGCGGCCCAGAGGAAUGGCGGUCACGGCAGGGAAACCUGCCGCACAGAAUCCGGCCUAUCGGCUUGCUUCACUU
RNAcentral lists this RNase P RNA (318 nucleotides) under Betaproteobacteria bacterium. Its description in RNAcentral is "RNase P RNA component class A". It matches the Rfam family "Bacterial RNase P class A". Rfam says of the family: Ribonuclease P (RNase P) is a ubiquitous endoribonuclease, found in archaea, bacteria and eukarya as well as chloroplasts and mitochondria. Its best characterised activity is the generation of mature 5'-ends of tRNAs by cleaving the 5'-leader elements of precursor-tRNAs. The record is from RNAcentral. Lineage: Bacteria; Pseudomonadati; Pseudomonadota; Betaproteobacteria.